Non-coding RNA from Phrynosoma platyrhinos (Desert horned lizard), 72 nucleotides. The record is from the annotation of a GenBank genome assembly. Lineage: Eukaryota; Metazoa; Chordata; Lepidosauria; Squamata; Phrynosomatidae.
GCCAGUGUGGCGUAGUGGUUUGAGUGUAAGACUUGGACUCUGAAGAUUGAGGUUCGAUUCCCCACUCAGCCA